RNAcentral lists this ribosomal RNA (395 nucleotides) under Turdus hauxwelli. RNAcentral describes it as "partial 12S ribosomal RNA". It matches the Rfam family "Bacterial small subunit ribosomal RNA", at positions 794 to 1384 of the family's 1533-position model. The record is from RNAcentral. Lineage: Eukaryota; Metazoa; Chordata; Aves; Passeriformes; Turdidae.
GCCUGGCCCUAAAUCUUGACGCUCGAUAUUACCUGAGCGUCCGCCCGAGAACUACGAGCACAAACGCUUAACACUCUAAGGACUUGGCGGUGCUCCAAACCCACCUAGAGGAGCCUGUUCUGUAAUCGAUGAUCCCCGAUAUUACCUGACCAUUCCUUGCACGAAGCAGCCUAUAUACCGCCGUCGCCAGCCCACCUCUCCUGAUAGCCCAACAGUGGACGCAAUAGCCUAACCCGCUAGCAAGACAGGUCAAGGUAUAGCCUACGGAAUGGAAGCAAUGGGCUACAUUUUCUAGACUAGAACAUACGGAUAAGGGUAUGAAACUGCCCUUGGAAGGCGGAUUUAGCAGUAAAGAGAGACAAUUGAGCCCUCUUUAAGCCGGCUCUGGAGCACGU